This 275-nucleotide ribosomal RNA is filed under the name uncultured bacterium. Its description in RNAcentral is "partial 16S ribosomal RNA". It matches the Rfam family "Bacterial small subunit ribosomal RNA", at positions 523 to 796 of the family's 1533-position model. The record is from RNAcentral.
AUACGUAGGGGCCAAACGUUGUCCGGAUUUAUUGGGCGUAAAGGGCUCGUAGGCGGUUCAACAAGUCGGUCGUGAAAACCCGGGGCUCAACCCCGGGACGCCGGUCGAAACUGUUGUGACUAGGGUCCGGUAGAGGUGAGUGGAAUUCUCGGUGUAGCGGUGGAAUGCGCAGAUAUCGAGAGGAACACCAGUAGCGAAGGCGGCUCACUGGGCCGGUACCGACGCUGAGGAGCGAAAGCAUGGGGAGCAAACAGGAUUAGAAACCCCAGUAGUCC